GAUGGACGCUGGCGGCGUGCCUAAUACAUGCAAGUCGAGCGAACGGACGAGAAGCUUGCUUCUCUGAUGUUAGCGGCGGACGGGUGAGUAACACGUGGAUAACCUACCUAUAAGACUGGGAUAACUUCGGGAAACCGGAGCUAAUACCGGAUAAUAUUUUGAACCGCAUGGUUCAAAAGUGAAAGACGGUCUUGCUGUCACUUAUAGAUGGAUCCGCGCUGCAUUAGCUAGUUGGUAAGGUAACGGCUUACCAAGGCAACGAUGCAUAGCCGACCUGAGAGGGUGAUCGGCCACACUGGAACUGAGACACGGUCCCGACUCCUACGGGAGGCAGCAGUAGGGAAUCUUCCGCAAUGGGCGAAAGCCUGACGGAGCAACGCCGCGUGAGUGAUGAAGGUCUUCGGAUCGUAAAACUCUGUUAUUAGGGAAGAACAUAUGUGUAAGUAACUGUGCACAUCUUGACGGUACCUAAUCAGAAAGCCACGGCUAACUACGUG
RNAcentral lists this ribosomal RNA (497 nucleotides) under uncultured bacterium. RNAcentral describes it as "partial 16S ribosomal RNA". It matches the Rfam family "Bacterial small subunit ribosomal RNA", at positions 28 to 507 of the family's 1533-position model. The record is from RNAcentral.